Molecule: long non-coding RNA, 6929 nt
Filed under: Mus musculus (house mouse)
Lineage: Eukaryota; Metazoa; Chordata; Mammalia; Rodentia; Muridae
Description: long non-coding RNA chr7:94135317-94142246
Source: RNAcentral
AUUUUCUGAGCUCUGAUUUGCUGCAUUGUGCUCACCAAUAAACACUGUGCCUUACAUAAAGUGUAUGUUUAUGAUUUAUAAAUGGCUUUAACCUCUGUGUAUACUAUCUCUGAAUAUGAAUUUCUUCUGAUGAAAUGGAAAUAACAAUAACUAACUCAUAGUUUGUGUUGUGAUCAAAUGGAUCAGAACAUACAGUCUUUUUAUGGGGAGGGGGGCUAGGCAGCACACAUUCAUCCCUUAUUUGUGUAGGUACCAUUCUGUAUUACCUUAUAUUCUUGAAGGGGAAAAUUAGUACAGUAUUACUGAAUUGGUGGGUGUUUAAAAGAAAAUGAAUAGACUCUGCAACACCAUGCUUGUUCUUAGUUAAGUUACUUUAUUUAAGUAGCGAGUGACAUUGUCCAAAGAAUUGAUAUAAACAUAAUGGCUUUAUAAGUUGUUGUGAGCAUUAUUAAUUGGCAUUAUCUAGCACACUGCUAAGGCAGGCUGCUUUGAAAUUUUCCUAAAUUUCAGCCAAAGAUUUUGAGAUACAAAAGGAAAUCCAUCUGCAUAUCCAGAAUGUAGCAAAUACCACAAGAUUAAGAAAGCUUUAGGACAAUAUAAGUUUAGAGAGUGGAUAUGAUGGUUUAAUAUGGGCUCAACAUUAACCAUGGUUAACAUUUAGUUUGAAAUUUUGAAUACAAUCUGCAUAAUAACCAUCUACAAAAGUUUUUUCUGGACAGAACGAGUUUAUUAAAGCAAGUAGUGUAGUUUGGAAACUGUACAUAGACAACAUCCAGUAGUCAGAGAAAUUCACAUGUGUUUCGGUUACUUUUUGUAACACUCUGUUGCUGAAGUUCCUGUCGUUGGCUUCAAAAAUGUAUGAAUAUCAUGCAUACCCUCAAAACUAGAGCAUGCUGUACCUCUCUUUUCAAGUCCUAUAGUUGCUAUCACAAAAUUGUUAAUAAUGUGAUAUUAGCAUUUCUGUUUUUAAAAUAAAUACAGAUGGUAACAUAAGCCCCUGUUCAGUUAUUUUCUGAGACUGCCACAAACAUCAUAUUCCAUUUCGAUUCUAAAAACCCAGAGCUCUUCUCUCUUCCUUAUAUAUCUGAUUUAAAUCAGUUAUGAGUGAUUAACUUUUCUUUGAAAAUAUCUCUGAAAUGCAAACAUUCCUAUUUAGUAGCAUUAUUAGCAGUGUAAUUCAUCUCAUGAUUGGUACAAUUAUGUUCUCUCUGUCUUCAUGUUACCCUUCACUCUGUAGCAUAAAUCUUACCAUAUAACUCUAUAGAAAAUGUAUAUGGGUUCGUAAAACAAAACAAAACAAAACAAAAAGAACAAAUACUGAACUGAGUAAGCAAGGGUGCCUAUGAUUACUCAUUCUAUCUUUGGGAUUUCCCAUACCACAGUCUUCAACACUGCUUUCCUGCUUCCAGUGCUCCCCCUCACUUCCUUUGCCUAUGACUGCUUCUUUCUGUUUUAAUCUCGUGUUACCUCAUUGUUCUUUCACAUUUUAAUUCAGGCUCACUUUCCUUAAGGUGUCAAUCUAUAAAUGUUUCCAGGUUUCUGUUUUAGUUAGGGUUUUUAUUGUUGUGAAGAGUCACCAUAACCAUAACAAUUUGCAUAAAGGAAAACAUAUAAUUGGGGCUUUCUUUCAGUUUCAGUGGUUUAGUCUAUUAUUAUCGCAAAGGAGCUGAGAAUUCUAUAUCUGGAUCGAAAUACAGCAGGAAGAGAAUGACAAAUCAGGUGUAGCUCAAACAUCUGAAACCACAAAGCCCACACCCAGUGACACACCUACUUCAACAAGGCCACACUUCCUAACAGUGCCACUCUUUAUGGGACUAUGGAGGCCAAUUUUAUUCAAACUUCCACAACUUCAUCCAUGAUAAAGGCAAAUUACUUUAGAACAUGCAUCAAAUUGCUAAUUAUAUGUAUGAUCCUUUUAUUAAUAUUGAUCUCAGCUUACUAGAAUAUAGUAAGUUAUGUUGUUUCUGGAUGUUCUCACAGUGAAUAUUAUAAUGAAUGCUUAAUAAACAGUUAUUGAAUAAAUGAAUGUAUUUUUAUCCUGUUUUUGUCAAUGAAACCAAGUAAUAUACACACCUGCUAUGACAUAAUAUCUAGAAUGGUUAAAAGAAAGAGAUUAAGAUCACAUAAUAUUUUAGCACCUUUUUACUUUCUCUUGAUUUUAAGGAUUCUUCACAACCCACAAAUAUGUUGCCUGAGAGAUUGCUGAAGCUAUUUGCCAUUUUAUGCAGGUGUGUGUCCUAAAAAUGUUUUUAAUUUAGCUUUUAUACAUAUUUAUUGUGCACGUAUGUAUAUGAAUGUGUUUUGUUUGUAUUGGGGUGAUAUACCAAUUGGAAAGAAAUAUAAAGUGAUUUAUUUUUGUCUUAAGAUUAAGUAUGUCUUAUUACAGUCCUCAUUUGAAGAGAGAUUUUUAGAGUUCAUUACCUCAGUCCACUUCAUGGAUAUAUAACAUAUAAAGGCAACUUUAAGACAUUCACACACACACACACACACACACACACACACACACACACACACACACUAAGUUCUAAGAACUCAGCAGUGAAAGAGACUACAGCAAUAAUAUUUACAAAUGCAUUUUUUACUUUUGAAGCCAGGUCAUUUCUCUGAGGCCUUAGCAUUGACAUAGGCUAGGAAUGGACUAAUCAGUCUACAAAGAUUUUCAAUCAUUCAUAGAUAAAGUAUGUUCACCAAUAACAAUUAUAUGCAUUUUAUAGUAUCAGCUGAAACAUUGUAAACUAAGUCAUAUAGUGCCAGGUAAAAUGGAUUUUUCAUUCUAAUUAUUCAUUUUCCUUUCUUUACCUGUCAGUUUUUUUUCAUUUCUAAAUACUGGAGGAGAAAUACAAUAUCUUACAAUAUGAUAAUGAUAAAUACAUAUCAAUUGUGAGAGGUAAUUCAUUACUAAAGGCUAAGUAUAUAGUAUUUUUGUAAGAGAUUACUAAAGAUGAUUGUUGUGGGAAUUUUAAGGUUUAUCACAGGCUCAAACUUUGAUAUUGCUCCCUAAUUAGUGGCACAGUUUGGGGAUGGGAGAUAGCCAUACCUGAUAGUAAUAGAACUGUCUGGGCAAGUUGUUUCUGUUCCCAGUUCCUGCUCACUUGUUAAUUGUUAUUAAAGGGAUCUACUGCCACAAACUCAUUAGACCAUGCUGAUCCACUAUGCUAUUCUUUCCACAGUGGCCAGAAACCUUGUAAAACCAUUAUGCAAAACUAUUCCUUUAUCAUUAAGAUCUCAUUGUCACUAUUCUGGCCAUGACAAUACAAACUUAAAUAAUCCAACCCUGAAUUUAGAAUUUAAAAUAUGAAUACUAGACCUAGCCAUUAUAACAAUUUUUAAAUAUUUCUGUAUAUUGGAUGUCAUAUAUAAUAAAUAAACCAAUUGUCUAUAACUGUAGGUCCUGAAAGUUUCUACAUAGAUUUCAGAUACAGCACAGUAAUGUUAAAGGACAGUAAUUAGGUGUUUCUUUUAAGACCUGUGAAACUAGAAUAGGAAUACUUUUCACAUCUUAAUGUUUGGCAGAAAGCAGUGCCUCAGCUCAUGGUCAAAGCAUCCAUUUGAGGAAAAUAUUUACUACAUGGUUAUGAGUCUACGAAACUGAUACGGCCCUGAAGAUAACAUUUACUAUUUGCAAGAGAGACCACAUAUCAGCCAAGUAGUUGUGAAAAUGCAAUCUAUCUUUUUUUCUUUUUAUAGUUAUUUAUUUAUUUAUUUAUUUUAAGGGAUCAUUAUCUUUUUUUUAAAAAAAGGAUAUUUUCUUUAUUUACAUUUCAAAUGUUAUCCCCUUUACUAGUUUCGCCUCCAACCCCACCCCCCAUCCCUUUCCAACUUCCCCUGCUCACCAACCCUCGCACUCCCACUUCCUGGUCCUGGUGUUCCCCUAAACUGGGGUAUCAAGCCUUGACAGAACCAAGAGCCUCUCCUUCCAUUGAUGACCAACAAGGCCAUACUCUACUACAUAUGUGGCUGGAGAGAUGGGUCCCACUGUGUACUCUUUGGUUGGUAGUUUAGUCCCUCGGAGCAUUGGAGUUACUGGUUGGUUCAUAUUGUUCCUUCUACGAAGUUGAAAACGUGUUCAGCUCCUUGAGUCCUUUCUCUAGCUCCUCCAUUGAGGACUCUGUGAUCAGUACAAUGGAUGUCUGUGAGCAUCCACUUCUGUAUUUGUCAGGCACUGGCAGAGCUUCUCAGGAGACAGCUACAUCAGGCUUCUGUCAGCAAGCACUUGUUGGCAUCCACACUAGUGUCUGGGUUUGGUGACUGUAUACGGGACAGAUUCUCAGGUGGGGCAUUCUCUGAUGGCCUUUCCAUCUGUCCCUACUCCACAACUUUUCUCUGGAUCCCCACCCAUGAGUAUUUUGUUCCCCCUUCUAAGAAGCACCAAAGUAUCUUCACUUUGGACUUCUUCCUACUUGAGCUUCAUGUGGUCUGUGAAUUGUAUCUUGGGUAUUCUGAGCUUCUGGGCUUAUCUCUACUUAUCAGUGAGUGCAUACCAUGUGAGUUCUUUUGUGAUUGGGUUUUCUCACUCAGGAAGAUAUUCUCCAGAACCAUCCAUUUGCUUAAGAAUUUCAUAAUUUAUUGUUUUUAAUAGCUGAGUAGUACUACAUUGUGCAAAUAUACUACAUUUUCUGUAUCCAUUCCUCUGUUGAGUGACAUUUGGGUUCUUUCCAGUUUCUGGCUAUUAUAAAUAAGGGUGCUAUGAACAUAGUGGAACAUGUGUCCUUAUUACAUGUUGGAGCAUCUUCUGGGUAUAUGCUCAGGAGUGGCAUUGCUGGGUCCUCAGGUAGUACUGUCUGUUGCUGGUGGGAUUGCAGGCUGGUACAACUACUCUGGAAAUCAGUUUAACAGUUCCUCAGACAACUGGACAUAUUUAUUUAUUUUUUAUGCUUCAGAUUUUAUUCCUCUCCCAGUCCACCCUCUGACUGUUCUACAUCCCAUACCUCCUCCCUACCUUCUGUUCCAUGAAAUGUCCUCAUCCCCCUCUACCCCACCAUAUUUCUAAACUCCCUGGGGCCUCCAGUCUCUUAAGGGUUAGGUGCAUCUUCUCUGACUGAACGCAGAUCCUGUAUUUGUGUCAGGGGCCUAAUAUCAGCUGGUAUUUUCUGCUUGGGUAGUGGUCAAGUUUUUGAGAGAUCCCAAGAUUCCAGGUUAAUUGAGACUGCUGGUCUUCCUACAGGGUUUCCCUCCUCCUCAGCUUCUUCCAGCUUUCCCCUAAUUCAAGUACAGGGGUCAACAGCUUCUGUCCAUUGGUUGGAUGCGAAUAUCUACAUCUGACUCUUUCAGCUGUUUAUUAGGUCUUUCAGAGGUCACACUUGUAAGUGCUCCAUAGCCUCAGAAAUACUGUCAGGCUUUGGAACCUCCCAUUGAGCUGGAUCCCACUCUGGGCCUGUUUUUGGACCUUCUUUUCCUCAGAUUCCUCUCCAUUUCCUUCUAUGCAGUUCUUUGAGACAGGAACAAUUAUGAGUCAGAGUUUUGACUGUUGGAUGGCAACCUCUCCCUCACUUGAUGCCCUGUCUUUCUGCGGGAGGUGGGCUCUAUAAGUUCCAUCUCGCUACUUUUGGGCAUUUCCUCUAAAGUUUCCCUCUUUGAGUCUUGAGAGUCUCUCAUCUCCCAGGACUCUGGUGCUUUCUGGAGGGUUCUCCCAAAUUCCUACAACCCGAGGUUGCCUGUUUCCAUUAUUUCUGCUAGCCCACACAGCUUUAGUCUUUUUCUCUCAGCCAGUACCAGAUCAGGUUCCCCUCUCCCUGCCAACCCCCUAUCCACUUUCCCCUCCAGGUUCCGCUCCCCCAAUUGUGAUUGCUUUCUUCUCUCUCCAAACUGGGUCUGAGGCAUCCUCACUUUGACCCUUCAGUUUGUUGACCUUUCUGAGUUCUGUGAACUGUAUCUUGGGUAUUCUGGAUAAUACACUUAUUAGUGAGUACAUACCAUGCAUACCAUGCAUGUCCUUUUGAGUCUGAGUUACCCCACUCAGUAUGACAAUUUUCAGAUCCAUCCAUUUGCCUGCAAAACUCAUGAUAUCCUCUUUCUUAAUAGCUGAAUACUAUUGUUGAGGUCCUUGAUCCACUUGGACUUGAGCUUUGUGCCAGGUGACAAAUAUGGGCCUAUUUUCAUUUUUCUACAUACUGAUAGCCAGUUAGACAAGCACCAUUUAUUGAAGAUGCUUUGUUUUUUCCAUUGUAUAUUUUUGGCUUCUUUGUCAGAGAUCAAGUGUCUUUAAGUGUAUGGCCUUAUUUCUGGGUCUUUAAUUCUAUUCCAUUGAUCAACAUGUUUCUCUCUGUACCAAUACCAUGCAGGGUUUUUUUUUUUUUUUUUUUUUUUUCACUAUUGAUCUGUAAAGUUGAGGUCAGGGAUGGUUAUUUCCCCAGCCUUUCUUUUGUUGUUUUUUAAGAAUUGUCUUCUCUAUUCUGAUUUUUUGUUUGUUUGUUUGUUUGUUUGCCUUUCCAAAUGACUUUGAAGAAUUGUGUUGGAAUUUUGAUGGGGAUUGCAUUGAAUAUAUAGAUUUCCUUCAGUAGGAUGGCCAUUUUUACUAUAUUAAUUCUGCCAAUCCAUGAACAUGGGAGAAGUCUCCAUUUUCUGAGAUCUCUGGUUUCUUUCUUGAGAGAUUUGGAGUUAUUGUCAUACAGGUCUUUCACUUGUUUUCUUAGAGUUACCCCAACAUAUUUUAUAUUAUUUUUGGCUAUUGUGAAAAGAGUUUUUUCCCUUAUUUCUUUCUCAGCCCAUUUAUCAUUUGUAUACAGGAAGAAUAUUGACUUUUUUGAGUUAAUUUUAGUGGGAUUUCAUCAUGUAUCUCUCCAUUUAAUUGGAUAUUGGCUGUUGGUUGCAGUGAAAACUUAGUCUUUUCAUAUAAUUCAUAAUUAAGAUAUUUUUCAAGUGUUAGAAAAUGUUAAAUAAAUGUUUAUAAUGCUUUCCUUAACAUAAUUUUAUUUUCAAUGAUUAACUCU